GAUGAACGCUGGCGGCGUGCUUAACACAUGCAAGUCGAACGGAGAUACAUUUGUAGCAAUAUAGAUGUAUCUUAGUGGCGGACGGGUGAGUAACGCGUGAGGAACCUGCCUCGGAGUGGGGAAUAACACAGUGAAAAUUGUGCUAAUACCGCAUGAUAUAUCGAAGCUGCAUGGCUUUGAUAUCAAAGAUUUAUCGCUCUGAGAUGGCCUCGCGUCUGAUUAGCUAGUUGGUGAGGUAACGGCCCACCAAGGCGACGAUCAGUAGCCGGACUGAGAGGUUGACCGGCCACAUUGGGACUGAGAUACGGCCCAGACUCCUACGGGAGGCAGCAGUGGGGAAUAUUGGGCAAUGGGCGAAAGCCUGACCCAGCAACGCCGCGUGAAGGAAGAAGGCCCUCGGGUUGUAAACUUCUUUUAAGAGGGACGAAACAAAUGACGGUACCUCUUGAAUAAGCCACGGCUAACUACGUG
This 471-nucleotide ribosomal RNA is filed under the name uncultured organism. RNAcentral describes it as "bacterial SSU rRNA". It matches the Rfam family "Bacterial small subunit ribosomal RNA", at positions 28 to 507 of the family's 1533-position model. The record is from RNAcentral.